RNAcentral lists this ribosomal RNA (505 nucleotides) under uncultured bacterium. RNAcentral describes it as "partial 16S ribosomal RNA". It matches the Rfam family "Bacterial small subunit ribosomal RNA", at positions 28 to 507 of the family's 1533-position model. The record is from RNAcentral.
GACGAACGCUGGCGGCGUGCCUAAUACAUGCAAGUAGAACGCACAGUUUAUACCGUAGCUUGCUACACCAUAGACUGUGAGUUGCGAACGGGUGAGUAACGCGUAGGUAACCUGCCUGGUAGCGGGGGAUAACUAUUGGAAACGAUAGCUAAUACCGCAUAAUAUUGAUUAUUGCAUGAUAACUGAUUGAAAGAUGCUAUUGCAUCACUACCAGAUGGACCUGCGUUGUAUUAGCUAGUAGGUGAGGUAACGGCUCACCUAGGCGACGAUACAUAGCCGACCUGAGAGGGUGAUCGGCCACACUGGGACUGAGACACGGCCCAGACUCCUACGGGAGGCAGCAGUAGGGAAUCUUCGGCAAUGGACGAAAGUCUGACCGAGCAACGCCGCGUGAGUGAAGAAGGUUUUCGGAUCGUAAAGCUCUGUUGUAAGAGAAGAACGGGUGUGAGAGUGGAAAGUUCACACUGUGACGGUAUCUUACCAGAAAGGGACGGCUAACUACGUG